GCCUAGUUGGCUCAGUUGGAAGAGCAUGAAACUCUUGAUCUCCGGACUGUGGGUUUAAGCCCCAUGUUGGGUG
RNAcentral lists this transfer RNA (73 nucleotides) under Ailuropoda melanoleuca (giant panda). It matches the Rfam family "tRNA". From Rfam's summary of the family: Transfer RNA (tRNA) molecules are approximately 80 nucleotides in length. Their secondary structure includes four short double-helical elements and three loops (D, anti-codon, and T loops). Lineage: Eukaryota; Metazoa; Chordata; Mammalia; Carnivora; Ursidae. The record is from Rfam by way of RNAcentral.